This 253-nucleotide ribosomal RNA is filed under the name uncultured bacterium. RNAcentral describes it as "partial 16S ribosomal RNA". It matches the Rfam family "Bacterial small subunit ribosomal RNA", at positions 524 to 776 of the family's 1533-position model. The record is from RNAcentral.
UACGUAGGUGGCGAGCGUUGUCCGGAUUUACUGGGCGUAAAGCGCGUGUAGGCGGCCGGAUAAGUCGGGUGUGAAAGCCCGGGGCUUAACUCCGGGUCUGCAUUCGAUACGGGCAGGCUAGAGUGUGGUAGGGGAGAUCGGAAUUCCUGGUGUAGCGGUGGAAUGCGCAGAUAUCAGGAGGAACACCGAUGGCGAAGGCAGGUCUCUGGGCCAUUACUGACACUGAGAAGCGAAAGCAUGGGGAGCGAACAGG